GAAGCACCUUGUAAACACGGCACAUUUACGUAACGUGUCCGCCCGCUGACGUUCUCCCAUCGUGACGUUUGGACCGCGGGUCACGGUUAACCUUCACAGAGAGAGCUGUGAAACGGUGGGCCCGGCGAGGACAAUGUGUGCCGUAUCUUAGGAUUAGGUGAAUGUCAGGGCGAGGAAAUCUCCGAGGGUUUUCGUUUGAUCUCCUCGCGCCUGGCCCUCUGUUUUUGUGCCUCCGAAGGGGCUCUCUGCUCACUAGGUAGUGUCCUUAAUAGGGAAUAAGGGGUCUGUUUAGGAAGCAGGGUGUGUGCGUGUGUUGAUCGGGCGCCAAGACCGUCUCUGGUUGCUAGGCCUUUUUGCCGUGGCACCUCCUGCUGUGAUUUCAUUUCACCAAGGGUAUGCUGGGACAGAACACCAGACACAAUGCGUAUUCAGUAUUCACGAAUCAGCAUAACCAGACAAGCAAAGCGAGGCGGUGUAAUAUUGUACGCUCACACAGAGGGGCUUGUCUUUCAUCUACCCAGGCAAGGACCAAUAAAGUAGUUCCCCUGGGGUACCAAGAUCCCAGCAGAAAUUACGCCUAACCAUCACUUGUUAUGAACACACCUGUCAGACCCUGAAUUCAAAUGGGCUUGCUUUUUUUUGUUCAGCUUUUUUACUAUAAUUUUUUUUUUAAUGUAUUUUCAAGCGACCUGAUCAAAUAGCAGCAGGAAUGGCUAUACAGGACGAGACACGAUACAGUCCGUGUGAGUGUACGCAAAGACGCGAGUGUGUGCAAAGCUGUUUCCAGAUGUAAAUACAGGUUUAUGGGCGGUUUAAAUCCUGAAAGCUGAUUGGCUGAAAACCGUGUCAUGUGAGAGAGUACACGAAGGAUGUGACAUCACCUAACGCUUUACGUCUGUUUGCGUUGGUGAGUCCAACUGUAAUAGCAGUUGAGCAUCCCGGGGGCUUGAGGUAUAUUGACAACAUAACAUGGACAAGUGCUUCAUCUAGGCAGUCUGUUUAAGAACAGCUAUUAGCCACGCUAUAUUAGCCAUAAACCACACUGCCUCAUUCUUUAUUGCGUGAAUAUUAUUGAGGGUGAGGAUCGAAUGGGGCGACCUUUUGCAAGCAACACGCGUGAUAACCCUGUGCCUGUUUUCAUCGUGCUGCUUUAGCCACAUUUAGGUUGGGGGUUUUGGUAUCGUGUUACAGUAUUGUGAGAACUGUCGCGUCUGCCAGUUGGUUCAUCCACAUCUCGGGCUAACGCGCUAACGAUCUAUCAUGGGACCAAACGAGCAAAGCAGACAAUCUAACCGCCGAGCGGCGUGUUGUCAAUUGGCGCCGGCUGACUGGCAGACAGUCCCAUUAUCAUUAAGGGGCUCAUGUGUCGGCUUUACCAGUUCCUUGGGAGCUAAGGAUAGCAGGCUGCCUUGUCUGGGCUUGCCUCGAUACUCUUAUUAAAUGAGUUGUGACUGAACGAAAGCCUUGCGCGGUGGUGGCCAAUCGCCAGCUUGUCGGGUGUUUAAGACGCCAGAUUGCCUCGCCGCCAUCCUCCGAGACCCCGGCCUCCAUUAGCGACAACGUGGCUUCUCUCAUUCUUCCUCUCCGGCAGAACGCAUCGUUUCCUGCCCACCAGCGAACCCCCCAGAGGGUGCUGUGCGCCUUCUGCUAGCCCAUAAUGACAUAAUGUCGUACACAGGGUUGCGCCACGAGUCCCGGCUGCAGGAAGUGAGACCUGGCAGGCUGUUAUCAAGCCAGCUCUAAAACAGUGCCUUUUACAUGGCCGCAGAGGCAACGUUUUGCACUUUUUGUCGUGAUUAGCUGAGGAACAAAAGUAUAAGCUAAAUUAAAGCAUAUCUCUUGUGGUUUUACAUACUAAGGCGUGGCCUUUCUUGUGCCCUGUCCUCGAUUUCGCUGGGCUACGUAAAUGUGUCCAGAAAUAAUUUUUGACACAUUUUUGCUUUAUACUUCGUUGAUUAAGAAGAAACACAGGGAAAGAUAGAGGAUUGUGCUGAAAUAGAAGUGGGAGUUUAACCCAUGGAGAAAUAGUAGUGGAUGGGAGUUUAACCCAUGGAUAAAUAGUUGUGGAUGGGAGUUUAACCCAUGGAGAAAUAGUAGUGGAUGGGAGUUUAACCCAUGGAUAAAUAGUUGUGGAUGGGAGUUUAACCCAUGGAGAAAUAGUUGUGGAUGGGAGUUUAACCCAUGGAGAAAUAGUAGUGGAUGGGAGUUUAACCCAUGGAGAAAUAGUAGUGGAUGGGAGUUUAACCCAUGGAGAAAUCGUAGUGAAUGGGAGUUUAACCCAUGGAGAAAUAGUAGUGGAUGGGAGUUUAACCCAUGGAUAAAUAGUUGUGGAUGGGAGUUUAACCCAUGGAUAAAUAGUUGUGGAUGGGAGUUUAACCCAUGGAGAAAUCGUAGUGAAUGGGAGUUUAACCCAUGGAGAAAUAGUAGUGGAUGGGAGUUUAACCCAUGGAGAAAUAGUAGUGGAUGGGAGUUUAACCCAUGGAGCAGCUAUACUGUGAGAUGCCCCUCGGCCACCAGCAAAUCAUUUGUUUUAAUAGGCAUUCUCUCUUGUUAUAUCAGUCAAACUUCAACCCCAAAUUACUUUCAGCCUUUUCAUAACUGUGCACUCAUUAAUUACAGUUUCAACAGUAUAGCUCAUUUGCUUUGUCUUUGUAUGCCUUGUUCUGAUUUUCUAGAAUAAUUACUCUUCUCAACCUUAAAUUAUUGCCACCUCCAAAGAGCAAAAUAAAAAAGCUCCAAAAUAAAAUAAACAACAGUUAAUGAGCUACAAUGUAAUUUUCCAACAGAUAUUGCACUUCACUAAUGAUUUAAGGCUAUCAGCCCAAAUUUUACAUUUCUCUGCUUGAACACGUAUUUCCCAGAAAACAUAUGUGUCGGUUAUUUGCCCCCUAUUGUGUACUUAUCGCCCCCCAUUGCCCCCUACGGCCCCCUAUCAACCCCAUUACCUCUUACUGCCUCCCAUCGCCCCCCAUUGCCUCCUACUGCCUCCUAUUGCCCCCCAUUGCCUCUUACUGCCUCGUAUCGCCCCCCCAUUGCCUCCAUCUUCCUCCUAUUGCCCCCCAAUUGCCUCUUACUGCCUCCUAUCGCCCCCCAUUGCCUGCCUAUUGGCUGCCUAGGUCUGCCUAGGUCUGCCUAGGUCUGCCUAGGUCUGCGUGGCCGAUGAGCUCUUUUCACUUCAUCUGACCAUAUAACCUGUGCCCAAGCCAAUUCGCAAACUCAAGGCAUUUGCUUUUUUGGGUUGCUCUCAAUAAAGGCUUGAUUCCGGCAGCCCUUUCAAGUAGGCGUGUGGAGGGGCUUCUCAUUGUAGAUUUGGAUCCUUGGUGACCCCAACAUGCGACCAAGUUCUGAACAUCUCCAGCUGUGGGCUUCGGGUUCUGCUUUGCCUCCCGCGUCAUUGUGUGGAGAGAAGAUGCACUUCCAUGCUCCGCCAGGCUGGUUUAACACCACCACUGGUAUUGGAACUUCUUCAUUAUUAAUAAGUACCAAUACCAGCCUCAUUUGCCCUUUCGUCAAGGGUGCCAAUCAUUUUGAAUUUAAGUAUAUGAAAUCCACCGCCCUCUCGCAGAUUUCAAAGGAGAAACUAAAAAGGAAAUUGUAGCCAAGCUGUUCUUGUCAGCAGCUAGCCAUGCCCCCCCUCAAAUCUCACUGUAUACUGUUAAUUAUUUACACGUUUAGACAAAAUCCCAGGGAGGAAUGAAUGAAUACUGUCUCAGCCAGUAGCUCAGACGUGACCUUGCCCGUACAAAGAAGAGGCACUCUUUUCAUAAAUAAACUGUAUAGAGAUUGACUCAGAGAAGAAUAUGAAUGUAGCUAAAGUACACGAAUAAUGGCUGAGCUCGGAUUUGCUCCGUAUGUGAGAGGAAAAGCUGUUUUGAAAGUACUGGGUAGUGUUUGAACAGGCUGUGUGUAAACAGACUAAGCUAUUCAGCUCUGCAGAAAAUCCAUGAAUCAAUGUGAUACCCUAAUCUACUUUGUUUCUUUUUGGUAUGAGGGGGAUCAAGUUUAGGGAAUCUGUUUCAAAUAGUGUAUAGUACUUUUAUCAGGAUGGUAAUAAUAUCCGAAAGCAGUACCGCGGCUUGAAUAA
Molecule: long non-coding RNA, 4084 nt
Organism: Esox lucius (northern pike)
Lineage: Eukaryota; Metazoa; Chordata; Actinopteri; Esociformes; Esocidae
Exons: 2
Source: RefSeq, a predicted model, not a curated record